RNAcentral lists this long non-coding RNA (5092 nucleotides) under Nicotiana benthamiana. Its description in RNAcentral is "long non-coding RNA (NBEN_LNC018034)". The record is from RNAcentral. Lineage: Eukaryota; Viridiplantae; Streptophyta; Magnoliopsida; Solanales; Solanaceae.
AAAAAUUUUAAUAAUACUCCAAUAAUAUUAACAGAAUAAUACAAAGAUAAUACGAAAUCUGAAUAAUCACUCCCAAAAGAUCUGGGUCACGAUUCUAUAUCCACUAAACAAAACUGGAUAAUAAUAUCUUAAUAGAAAAUAGAAGUCUGGGGAUGUAUAUAAUAUUAAUAAAUUGAAAUAUGAAGAGAAGCCAGGUCUUGCGAACGUCAAGCAGCUACCUCAACGACUCUAAAAAUAUCUGGAGACUACGAGUGCUCAUCUAAGCCUCCAAUGUACCUGAAUCUGCACACAAGGUGCAGGGAGUAGGGGUGAGUACUACCGACUCAGUGAGUAAUAACCAUAAAAAUGUCUGAAGAUAAGAAAUCCACAAAAUACCACAAAGUAAAGCUAAAACUAACAGACUGACACCUUAACUACGAAGUAACAACAAAGCAAUAUAAAAUAUAUCAGUCAAGUAUCAUGCAAAUAUGUAAUGCAAUGCACAUGAAUCCGCUGCGGCGUACAACCUAUACGUUUAAUGUCGGCGGCGCUCACUGGGGGUGUGUACAGACAGCAAAGCUAACACUAACAGUCCGACACCUUAACUACAAACUAACACCAAAGCAAUAUCAGAUAUAACAGACAAGUAUCAUGUAAAGAUGCAAUGCAAUGCACAUGAAUCCGUUGCGCAUACAUGCCGAUCCGUUUAUCGUCGACGGCGCUCACUGGGGGUGUGUACAGACUCCGGAGGGGCUCCUUCAGCCCAAGCGCAAUAUCAUCAUAUCACUGCUGAGGCAUGCAACCUGACUCGUACUGAUCCACAAUAUGCAUAUAAGUCACAUAACAUAACAGAGCAGAUGUAACAGAGAUCAAGAAACAGAUGGUAGAUCAACUGUCAAUUUCAACUGAUAAGUCAAGCCAGCAGUGUAACAGAGGAAAUGCAGUUUCUCCAGCUAUAUUGAUGCAGCAAUCCAACAUUUUGACAAAUCCAAAUUCAGUAGUUUCAGAGGCAAUGCCAACUCCAAAUGAAACUGAUGAAUCUCUUGAUCAGUCAAUGACAAUUGCAGAUAAUGCUCAAAAAGCUAAGGCUGCUGACAGUGGAAAAAAAUCCAAGAUUUCUGUCUCAUUAAAGUCAAUUAGCAGGACAGAUUUUGAACUCUCGAUGACAAACAGUUCAUAUGCUUUUGGCUCAAUAUCUGGUCUCAAAAAUGACCAUGAAAAGCAGAGUUCAUCUGAUGUUCUAGCUGGACAAUAUUUCAGAUGCAAGGCCUUGCAAUCCUCUGGGACGAACACAAAUGCUGAUGAUGCAGAAUUUCUGUUAGGAUCAUCUCAAGCUGUUACUCGAGCUGAUCAACAACUUUCAACAGUUGAAUAUGCUAAACAAUCUGGUCAAGACACAACACCUACUGGACAAGGGAUGCAAGAAAAAUUUUCAGCUAAUGGAACAGUUGAUUAUGCUAAUGAUUCAAUUGUUACUCGAGCUGAUCAACAAUAUUCAACAUUUGAAUCUGCUAAACAAGCUGAUCCAGUCACAAUUCCUACUGGACAUGGGAUGCAAGAAAGUCAAAAAUCAGCAAGUUCAAAUUUGAAUGUGAGUGGAGUAAUUGAAGGCCAAACUGCUCGACAGUUUUCAGCUAAUGGAACAGUUCAAACUGUUGUUCAUGAUGCAUAUCAGCUGAAACUGUCGAUAUCAGACGCCCAAACUGUAACAGUUGAUUAUGAUAAUGAUUAAAUUGCUACUCGAGCUGAGCAACAACUUUCAACAUUUGAAUCUGCUAAACAAGCUGAUCCAGUCACAAUACCUACUGGACAUGGGAUGCAAGAAAGUCAAAAAUCAGCAAUUCCAAAUUUGAAUGUGAGUGGAUUAGUUGAAGGCCAAACUGAUCGACAGUCUUCAGCAAAUGGAACAGUUCAAACUGUUGUUCAUGAUUCAUUUCAGCUGAAAGCCUCGACAUCUGAUUCCCAAAAUGUCCAAAAGGAUCAAGGAAUGUUGAUGAAUGCAGAAUUGUAUUAUCCAGUUCUCAAGCAGAGCGUGCAGCAUGGACAGCAGAAUGAUGCCGAAGGAAUGCAGCAGAAUAGUCAAAUGAAAGGUUCGACAUCUGAUCCCCAAACUGUCCAAGAUGGUCAAGGAAUGUUGAUGACAGCAGAAUUGAAUUCACAGUCAUGCAACAAUGUUGCUGCUGAUCCAGUCGCGCUCGCUAAUAUUGAUAAACAUGACGACAAAAUGAUGGGAGGGGUGAUCCAGAAGGUUCAAAGUUAUACUCCCCUCUCUAUAUCUAGUGCAUAUAGCGGGGAAGAUCUAAAUGAUAGCGAGGAAUUUUCAAGUCUCGGGGGUAAGAGCAAACAACUCAUUGUAGCUAACAUGAGGGACAUGGUUAUUAAGUCGAAACUUUGGGACCAACAGCAUUAUGAAGAUGAUGAAAGUUUGGAUGAAGGUUCCGGGGGAUGGUCAUCUGAUGAAGAAAGACAUCAAGAAGAUUGUGAUAGAUCAGAAGAAGACAGCAAUGCAUCGUCCAAAUCAAUUGUUCUAAAGAAAAAUGCAGAUUUGACUGGGAUGGAAAAACAGUCUAAUCUAGGUAGCAAAUUGAAUCAUAAUGCUCAGGUUUUCAUUCCUAAAAAGGUUUCAACAGCAGAUCUUUUGAAGACAAAACCAUCAUCACUAGCUGCUGAAAAAGAAAACCCCUCCACUGCACCUCUGAAUCUAGUAGCAUGUCCGAAAGUAGCACAAAAUCAGCUUAUAUGUACUCAAUCGCUAAUAUCUCAUGACCAAUCUCUUCUCCAGAAAAAUCACAUUUUUGAAGAAGGCGAGGAGGAGGAUAUCUUAGCGCAAUGCCGGAAAAGUGCUGCAAGAAUGGGGGAUUUGUCACCAACACACAGUAAAGCUGUUAAAAAGAUCCAUCAAAGGGGUAAAAGCUGGGACGGCAAGAUAGUUGAGGCCCCAAACAUAAGGAAGCUCCCAAUGAGAAUUGCAAAACAAAAACAGCUCAAUCAUACAACCUCCGCAAAAUCUAGCAAAUCAAAAUCCAAACCAUGAAUUACCCAAAUAUUGCAACCUUCCGUCUUAAAACCCACUCGACAGAGGAACAAGCGGGACGUUUAAAGACUUUUGGAGUCAACACUACACAUAGUUGAAGAAAAGAAAUCAAUUAUGCUUUCUUACCUAUCUCUUUAAUGUUUAUUUUCUCGCUUUUAUUUUAUGAGUCUUUUUUCAGCAUCGAUAGGUUGUAUAAGGUCUGGUCGCUAUGUGCUUGUUAUAUGGGUAACAACUCUGGCGUCCCCCUCGUAUAAACCUAUCUUUGUAUUUUUCUUAAUAGGUCGAAUACGGGAAGGUUGACACCCUUUCUCGUUAUUCACCUAUUUGUACUAUUUUACUUUCAUUAAUAAAAUUUCAAAAUUUGCUCAAAAAAAAAUUCAAUCUAUUUUUUUCAAUUUCCAAUUAUUAAGGUGAAUGUAAUUUAGUUAAUUAAUUUCAGGUAGAAGGUGACUUAGCAUUUAAUAACAGUGAUAAAACACAAGACUGAGAUUAAUGAUUACGCAAAUCAUGUUAUCAAAAAGAUAUUCAUCCUAGACGGAUGCUACAGAUCGGCACAAGGCCCCAAACAUGGCAAUAAGCCUAAUUAUCAACAAUACAAUGUGCGUAUCAGCCUCCAAUAAUUAUAUUUAGCUCUCGAGAUGGACCAAGUCACAAUCCCCAAUCAUAUACAAUCCCGCACCUGCCAUGGGGUGCGAGUCACACCCUAACAUAGCGUAACGAUGUGAUAAACUGUGGUUUCAAACCCUCAUGCCAUCAUCUAUACAAACUACUCACCUCUAACCGCUCGUAGACUGGUCCGCAAUACCUUUUGCCUUUGAAUCUCCGUCUACGCGUGUCGAAUCUAGCCAAAAUCACAACGAAUACGUCAUUAUAGGCUAAAUAAACACAAUACAAUUAAAAUUAUUCGAAAAAGCUAAAAAUAACGAAGUUGGUAAAACCCGAGCACUGGGCCCACUUCUCAAAAAAGUCCGAAAAUUACAUCAUCGGAUUCCGCAUCUCGCCACGAGUCCGUACAUAUAAGGUUUGUAAAAAAUGGAGUUCAAAUGGCCUUUCAAAUCCCCAAAAUUCGUUUUCAAAAAUCAAGCCCUAGUUAUUCACAAUUUCAACCUAUUUUUACGGAUUUGAGGGUUGAUUCUUCAUAAAAAUGGUGUUUUUAAGUCAAAAGACUUACCUCCAAUCACUUUCUGUUGAAAAUCCUCUUCAAAUCGCUCAAACUUCUCUCUUGGUGGAGAAAAAAUGGUGGGAAAAGUGUUGGGUUCGUGACUGAAAGAGCCCUUAAAAUCAUUUUGUCCAGCUGAACAAUCCUUCUUCGCGAACGCGAGGCCCUUCCGCAUUCGCGAUGACCAAAUCCACAGGGCUAAUUUUCCUUCUUCGCAAACUUGUGGCCCCUCUGCGUUUGCAAUAGCCAAAAUACCAGAUGCUCAAUUUUACCCUUAGCGAACGCGUUGCCUUCACGCGAAUGCGAAGGUGUGGCUCCUUCUUCCACGCAAACGCGACCCCUUCACGCGAUCGCGAAGCACUAGACCAGGCCCUUCCCAAAUGACCCCUACGCGAAUGGGUCCAGCCUAUGCGAACGCGAAGGCCAAUGGACCCCAGGCCUACGCGAAUGCGAGGCACCCCUGCGAAUGCGAAGGCCAAGCUUUACCUGCAACAGUUGCUGCAAUUUAUGUAGCACAAACCAACCUCCGAACUCCCCGUUAGCCAUCCGAAAUCACCCCGAGGCCCUCGUGACCUCAACCAAAAGUACAGAUACAUCUUAUUACUUCAUUCAAACUAUCUCCUAACAUAAAAAUACUAUCAGAAACAUCAAAAUCAUCAAAAUCAUCAAAUUACCACGGAUUCAAGCCUAAGUUAAACUAAAACUUCCGAAACUUGCAUUUGAUCAAAAACCCAACCUAAACACCUCCGAAUGAUCUGAUAAUUUGCACACAUAUCAAAAAUCACCUAACGGAGCUACUGCAACUGUCAUAAUUCCAUUCCGACCCCAGAUCAAAAUCUCACCUAUCAACCAAAAUUCGCCAAAAUUCAAACUUAGCCAAUUCAAGCCUAAUUCUACACCAGGCCUCCAAAUUCAGUUCC